Molecule: long non-coding RNA, 331 nt
Organism: Arachis duranensis
Lineage: Eukaryota; Viridiplantae; Streptophyta; Magnoliopsida; Fabales; Fabaceae
Exons: 3
Source: RefSeq, a predicted model, not a curated record
CAGACAUUUUGAAUACACCAGAGAGAGUUUAAUUAAUUUUGGUCUUGUGGACAACAAGUGGCUUUCAGAUCUCUAUGCAGACCGUCAUAUAUGAGUUCCAAUCUAUCUGGAUCACCACUUCAUAUUAUAGUACCUGUAAAUCAGAAAUUUUGAAUACACCAGAGAGAGUUUAAUUAAUUUUGGUCUUGUGGACAACAAGUGGCUUUCAGAUCUCUAUGCAGACCGUCAUAUAUGGGUUCCAAUCUAUCUGGAUCACCACUUCAUAUUAUAGUACCUGUAAAUCAGAAAUUUUGAAUACACCAGAGAGAGAUUAAUUAAUUUUGGUCUUGUG